CAUCGCUUCCGUUCGAACCCUAAUGUGCGUUUCUCUCUUCGAUCUCGCCACUAGUGCUUGCUCUUCUCCGUGUGUUGCUGCGUUUCUCUCUUCGAUCUUGCCUCAGCUGUGCAGGUUUUUAUUGAUUCACAGUGUCUCAGCGAUUGAAGACUAGUGUCCAUGUUAACUUGGUCUUCCAUAUAGGACUGAAAAUCAAGAUGCUAUAGAUGCCGCAAUUGUUGGUAUGCUUGCUGAUCCAAAGGAGGCAAGAGCUGGAAUUAGGGAGGUCCAUUUUUUCCCUUUCAAUCCUGGAGACAAGAGGACUGCUCUAACUUACAUUGAAUCUGAUGGAAAUUGGCAUAGAUCCAGCAAAGGUGCUCCUGAGUAGAUAUUGAACCUCUGCAACUGCAAAGAGGAUGUGAGGAGAAAGGCUAUGCAACUAUUGUUAAGUUUGCUGAGCGUGGGCUUCGAU
Arachis duranensis is the source of this 451-nucleotide RNA transcript. RefSeq lists it as uncharacterized. The transcript has 4 exons. NCBI's taxonomy places the organism in Eukaryota, Viridiplantae, Streptophyta, Magnoliopsida, Fabales, Fabaceae. The record is from RefSeq and is a predicted model, not a curated record.